GAAACGGCUCUUUUAAGAGCCCCAUAACACAAAGGUUAUUUUAAG
Molecule: non-coding RNA, 45 nt
Organism: Salmo salar (Atlantic salmon)
Lineage: Eukaryota; Metazoa; Chordata; Actinopteri; Salmoniformes; Salmonidae
Source: Rfam